AAACAACUGGAUUUGAACACUUGCUGCUGAUUUUUAGUUUUUAAAAUAUUCACAAUGCUAAAUAAUUCUCAUUUUGCUGGUUUCUGCUUAGAGAUGAUGCUGUGUUCUUUUCAGUUCCAAACAACAGUAGUGCAUCCCCUGAGAGGGUGUAGAUCCCAGUCUGAGCAGGACGCCUACCCUUGAGGGCACAAUGCGAGUACACAAAAUAUGAACAGCAUUUUACUUCCAAAGCACACCCUUCAAAUCACUAAGUGUGUACAAUGAUUUAAUUCUUUGCUUUAAAAACACAUUCUUUUCUGUACUGGAAAUCAUCUCCACUUACAGGGAAUAGUUUUCCAUUGUUACCACUCCAUGCGCUACAAUUUUCCUCUAUUAUUAUUCAUAGAAGCUCAGGACAACUGAAGUCUACCACUUCUACAACAAUGCUGGCUGGGUCAAACCAGACUUUCUCCUCGUUAUUCAAAAGUAAACCAGCAACCUAUGAUACAGGCUGCGUUAACAAUAGAGAUCAGUAUAUUACUUUAAGGACAUAUACAUUGGUUUAGCAAAAGGAAUCAGUGAGUUGUAGUUCUAAAACUUUCUACUCUAACUUUGCUUGGUGCAUGAUCAGCCUUGUUUUUCCAGCUUCACAAAAGCACUGAAGUCACAAUAGAAUACUUUUUAUCUUUCCAUCCAGCAGGUUCAAGGACUUUUUUUUUGGAUUUCACUUUUAUUGUUUUGAGUUACAGUACACUAGGAUAGAAAAUUGCUCAUUAUGGCCUAACAAGCUAUGGAAAUUUGCCAACUUGUGGAAAAAAACAGCUGAAGGUUGGACAAAAGUCACUGUGAUGAAGCUGUUGAUGGAAAAAUGAGAAGGAAAGAAGAAUGGAUUUGGAGGAAACCUUGAAGAAGCACUGACUUCUUGUCAGAAGGAAGGCCUAUACUAUAAAGAGAAGGUGGAAGGAAACACUUCCCCUAUGGAUAUCUCCCUUUGAAGUCCAUUGUUCAUAUCUGGUCUCCUUGAUAAAAGCUAUAAUUUUUAAUGUCCUGUAACACAUUUCCUUUCUAAACAUAUUUAUUGAUAAUUGCAGGCUUCACUCAUUACUUACGACAGCUCAAAAAUGGAUGACCUACAAUAAAAUGGCAAAUUUACAAGA
Meleagris gallopavo (turkey) is the source of this 1136-nucleotide non-coding RNA. The record is from RefSeq and is a predicted model, not a curated record. NCBI's taxonomy places the organism in Eukaryota, Metazoa, Chordata, Aves, Galliformes, Phasianidae.